Molecule: unclassified non-coding RNA, 342 nt
Filed under: soil metagenome
Description: partial contains 5.8S ribosomal RNA, internal transcribed spacer 2, and large subunit ribosomal RNA
Rfam family: 5.8S ribosomal RNA (bases 1-120)
Source: RNAcentral
GAUGAAGAACGCAGCGAAAUGCGAUAAGUAGUGUGAAUUGCAGAAUUCAGUGAAUCAUCGAAUCUUUGAACGCACAUUGCGGCCAUAGGUAUUCCUUUGGCCAUGCCUGUUCGAGCGUCAUUUACACCCUCAAGCCUAGCUUGGUAUUGGGCGUCUGUCCCGCCGUUCUCGCGCGCGGACUCGCCUCAAAGUCAUUGGCGGCGGUCGUGCCGGCCCCCUCGCGCAGCACAUUUGCGCUUCUCGGAGGCCCGGCGGAUCCGCGCUCCAGCAAGACCUUUCACGACUUGACCUCGGAUCAGGUAGGGAUACCCGCUGAACUUAAGCAUAUCAAUAAGCGGAGGA